RNAcentral lists this ribosomal RNA (497 nucleotides) under uncultured bacterium. Its description in RNAcentral is "partial 16S ribosomal RNA". It matches the Rfam family "Bacterial small subunit ribosomal RNA", at positions 28 to 507 of the family's 1533-position model. The record is from RNAcentral.
GAUGAACGCUGGCGGCGUGCCUAAUACAUGCAAGUCGAGCGAACGGACGAGAAGCUUGCUUCUCUGAUGUUAGCGGCGGACGGGUGAGUAACACGUGGAUACCCUACCUAUAAGACUGGGAUAACUUCGGGAAACCGGAGCUAAUACCGGACAAUAUUUUGAACCGCAUGGUUCAAAAGUGAAAGACGGUCUUGCUGUCCCUUAUAGAUGGAUCCGCGCUGCAUUAGCUAGUUGGUAAGGUAACGGCUUACCAAGGCAACGAUGCAUAGCCGGCCUGAGAGGGUGAUCGGCCACACUGGAACUGAGACACGGUCCAGACUCCUACGGGAGGCAGCAGUAGGGAAUCUUCCGCAAUGGGCGAAAGCCUGACGGAGCAACGCCGCGUGAGUGAUGAAGGUCUUCGGAUCGUAAAACUCUGUUAUUAGGGAAGAACAUAUGUGUAAGUAAAUGUGCACAUCUUGACGGUACCUAAUCAGAAAGCCACGGCUAACUUCGUG